Prevotella sp. CAG:604 is the source of this 408-nucleotide non-coding RNA. The record is from Rfam. NCBI's taxonomy places the organism in Bacteria, Pseudomonadati, Bacteroidota, Bacteroidia, Bacteroidales, Prevotellaceae.
GCAGCGCUCCGGUCUGUCGCUGGCAUUCCUUGAUGGGAAUGCGGGAGGAAAGUCCGGGCAGCAUAGGGCAUCCCACUUCCGAAAAUAGAAGCUAUUGGUGACAGUAGGUGUCGGCAGAAGAAAAUAACCGCUUUUACUAUCUUGCUCUUUGAGUGGGAUGGUGAGAGUAAGGGUGAGAAGGUGGUGUAAGAGACUACCAGCUGGCGGGUGAUCGUCAGGCUGUGCCAUCUGGGAGCUGUAAGCUCAUGUAAACCGCAGUUUGAGGGCGGCUCGUCUGAAGUCUUCGGACUACUGUGGAGGGUAGAGUGCUUGAACCUAAGGGUGACUUUAGGGCUAGAUAAAUGGCAGACUCUGUUCUUACUUCUGGUAGGAUACAGACAGAACUCGGCUUAUAGGGGCACUGCUUUC